Molecule: non-coding RNA, 375 nt
Organism: Monodelphis domestica (gray short-tailed opossum)
Lineage: Eukaryota; Metazoa; Chordata; Mammalia; Didelphimorphia; Didelphidae
Source: the annotation of a RefSeq genome assembly
AUGAAGGGCUGUCCCCCGGGGACCCGGAGAGAGGAUGCAGGCUCCCUCUCCCAGCCUGUGGUGACUCAGCCUCCCUCUGCCUCUGCAGCCCUGGGGAGCUCGGCCAGACUCUCCUGCACCCUGAGCAGUGAGCUCAGUGCUAGAAAUGUUUAUUGGCACCAGCAGAGCCCAGGAAAGCCCCCUCGGUACCUCCUGUAUGUCACCAGCAGUGGAAGUACAGGCAGGGGCGACGGGAUCCCUGAGCGCUUCUCUGGCUCCGGAUCUGGGACUAACCGAUUCCUGUCCAUCAGCAACGUCGAGCCCGAGGAUGAAGCCGAUUAUUUCUGCCAGUCAGAUUACUACCGUAGUAGUAGUAAUUUUGGUUACCCACAGUGA